AGAGUUUGAUCCUGGCUCAGGAUGAACGCUAGCGGCAGGCUUAAUACAUGCAAGUCGUGGGGCAGCAGGGGUGUAGCAAUACACUCGCUGGCGACCGGCAAACGGGUGCGGAACACGUACGCAACUUACCCUGAACUGGGGAAUAGCCCGGGGAAACCCGGAUUAAUACCCCGUAAUAUUAUGGUGUGGCAUCACACUUUAAUUAUAGCUCCGGCGGUUCGGGAUGGGCGUGCGGCUGAUUAGGUAGUUGGUGUAGGUAACGGCUCACCAAGCCUGCGAUCAGUAACUGGUGUGAGAGCACGACCAGUCACACGGGCACUGAGACACGGGCCCGACUCCUACGGGAGGCAGCAGUAAGGAAUAUUGGUCAAUGGACGCAAGUCUGAACCAGCCAUGCCGCGUGGAGGAUGAAGGCCCUCUGGGUUGUAAACUUCUUUUAUAGGGGACGAAAUCAACUAUUCUUAGUUGUCUGACGGUACCCUAGGAAUAAGCACCGGCUAACUCCGUGCCAGCAGCCGCGGUAAUACGGAGGGUGCAAGCGUUAUCCGGAUUCACUGGGUUUAAAGGGUGCGUAGGCGGGCAGGUAAGUCAGUGGUGAAAUCUCCGAGCUUAACUCGGAAACCGCCGUUGAUACUAUCUGUCUUGAAUACUCGGGAGGUGAGCGGAAUAUGUCAUGUAGCGGUGAAAUGCUUAGAUAUGACAUAGAACACCAAUUGCGAAGGCAGCUCACUACAGAGUCAUUGACGCUGAGGCACGAAAGCGUGGGGAUCAAACAGGAUUAGAUACCCUAGUAGUCC
This 797-nucleotide ribosomal RNA is filed under the name uncultured bacterium. Its description in RNAcentral is "bacterial SSU rRNA". It matches the Rfam family "Bacterial small subunit ribosomal RNA", at positions 8 to 796 of the family's 1533-position model. The record is from RNAcentral.